This 491-nucleotide long non-coding RNA is filed under the name Phaseolus vulgaris (common bean). RNAcentral's name for it is "long non-coding RNA (PVUL_LNC004859)". The record is from RNAcentral. Lineage: Eukaryota; Viridiplantae; Streptophyta; Magnoliopsida; Fabales; Fabaceae.
CCACCUGCAACAACCCACGAGUCGCGAACACUCCGACGCGACCUCCGCAACGCACCACCGCGACGCCCCACCUGCUGCAACGUGACGCCACCACCGCACCACCUACAGCAACUGCAGCAACUUGCGACGCCACCACCACCACUGCAACUUGCGACGCGACCACCACCACUGCAACACACAACUCAAUCUAUCGCUGCUACACUUCACAAAACAGAACGGAAACACAAAACGAAACGCAAAAACCCUAAGUUUUUUGAUUUCAUUCAGGCCCCCAUUCAAAACGACAUAGUUUUGUUUUUUUUAAAAAACCCAGCUGGACUCGCCAACUCGGACCAGAGUCGCGAGUCCACACCGAGUCUACCGAUUCCACACCGAGUCCACCGAGUUUAGCUCAAAACCGAGUCUGCUACCGAGUUAACUCGGUAAGGCAAAGUAGAAACGUGAACUCGGACAAGUCAACGAGUUGACUCGCGAGUUUGACAACCAUGCAA